ACCGGAUGACGUCGUGAGACCAAAGAUUUACCGCCCUUCGAGGGGCCCACAUGAUAUUAGCUAGUUGGUGAGGUAAUGGUUCACCAAGGCUAAGAUGUCUAGCGGGUAUGAGAGUACGACCCGCGCCACUCGCACUGAGACACUGGCGAGACACCCACGGGUGGCUGCAGAAUCG
Molecule: ribosomal RNA, 175 nt
Filed under: uncultured bacterium
Lineage: Bacteria
Description: partial 16S ribosomal RNA
Rfam family: Bacterial small subunit ribosomal RNA
Source: RNAcentral